RNAcentral lists this ribosomal RNA (110 nucleotides) under Escherichia coli. RNAcentral's name for it is "partial 23S ribosomal RNA". It matches the Rfam family "Bacterial large subunit ribosomal RNA", at positions 1 to 101 of the family's 2925-position model. Lineage: Bacteria; Pseudomonadati; Pseudomonadota; Gammaproteobacteria; Enterobacterales; Enterobacteriaceae. The record is from RNAcentral.
GGGUUGUGAGGUUAAGCGACUAAGCGUACACGGUGGAUGCCUUGGCAGUCAGAGGCGAUGAAGGACGUGCUAAUCUGCGAUAAGCGUCGGUAAGGUGAUAUGAACCGUUA